CAAAGAAAAAGUGUGAUUUUUCAAGGAAUCAAGUGUUUAAAGGUGGUGAGCUAUCUGAUACGGGUAAAAGACUACACCCGAGGACCGAGAAUAGGAGUAUAUCUACUCCUAUUACAUGGGCACUGCAGUGACGGGGGUUCCGUGGGCUA
This 149-nucleotide small RNA is filed under the name Theobroma cacao (cacao). RNAcentral describes it as "sRNA Tc07v2_g013340". The record is from RNAcentral. Lineage: Eukaryota; Viridiplantae; Streptophyta; Magnoliopsida; Malvales; Malvaceae.